AGAGAAACUGUAAAGGAUAAGGUUCCAGGGAGACCUCAUUAUGGCCUUUCAAUAAUUAAAGGGGUCUUGUCAUAUGAAAGAGAUGGAGAAGGACUCUUUACUCUGGUAGAUAAUUAUAGGACAAGGGGGAAUGCUCUUAAACUAAAAGAGGAUAGAUUUAGAUUAGACAUUAGGAGGAAAUUCUUCACUG
Long non-coding RNA from Oxyura jamaicensis (ruddy duck), 190 nucleotides. RefSeq lists it as uncharacterized. Lineage: Eukaryota; Metazoa; Chordata; Aves; Anseriformes; Anatidae. The record is from RefSeq and is a predicted model, not a curated record. The transcript has 3 exons.